CGGCGGCGUCGGCCAGGGAGCCGGGAUCACGCUCGUCUUCAGCAUGAUCGUCGGCCUCGGCGGGGGCAGCGCGUGGUCGCGUCGCGCUCCGGCGC
Molecule: transfer RNA, 95 nt
Filed under: Pseudolysinimonas kribbensis
Lineage: Bacteria; Bacillati; Actinomycetota; Actinomycetes; Micrococcales; Microbacteriaceae
Description: tRNA-Sec
Source: RNAcentral